This 500-nucleotide ribosomal RNA is filed under the name uncultured Glomeromycotina. Its description in RNAcentral is "partial small subunit ribosomal RNA". It matches the Rfam family "Eukaryotic small subunit ribosomal RNA", at positions 591 to 1092 of the family's 1831-position model. The record is from RNAcentral. Lineage: Eukaryota; Fungi; Glomeromycota.
CCAAUAGCGUAUAUUAAAGUUGUUGCAGUUAAAAAGCUCGUAGUUGAAUUUCGGAAUCAAUAUGUCGGUCGUGCCUUCGGUACGUACUGGUAUCAUUGGUUUCUCCUUUCUGACGAACCAUGAUGUCAUUAAUUUGGUGUUAUUGGGAGUUAGGACUGUUACUUUGAAAAAAUUAGAGUGUUUAAAGCAGGCUUUAGCUUGAAUACAUUAGCAUGGAAUAAUGAAAUAGGACGUUCGAACCUAUUUUGUUGGUUUCUAGGAUCAACGUAAUGAUUAAUAGGGAUAGUUGGGGGCAUUAGUAUUCAAUUGUCAGAGGUGAAAUUCUUGGAUUUAUUGAAGACUAACUACUGCGAAAGCAUUUGCCAAGGAUGUUUUCAUUAAUCAAGAACGAAAGUUAGGGGAUCGAAGACGAUCAGAUACCGUCGUAGUCUUAACCAUAAACUAUGCCGACUAGGGAUCGGAUGAUGUUAAUUUUUUAAUGACUCAUUCGGCGCCUUACG